AUGCAAAUUGCUCCAGAUACCAAGAAAUGCACAUGUCAAUAUGCUUUUAAUUUUAACAGCAUUGAACGAUUAAUUUUAACAUCAUUGAUUGAACGAUUAUGCAAAGGAGUAAAUCGAGAAAACAAGACCAAAAUGAGUAAAUCGAGAAAACAAAACCAUAAAGGAGUAAAUCGAGAAAAUAGGGUGAUAAAACUAUAUAGAAGAAGUGAAAUGAAAAGAAUUCUCAAUCCAAGAGUAUAUUUUAAUAAAAAAAACUAUUUGCUUGAUUUUACAUUGCUGGAUACUACACAAGUUUCAAUUUGCAAUUUAAGGCGAUAA
Molecule: non-coding RNA, 318 nt
Organism: Vicia faba (fava bean)
Lineage: Eukaryota; Viridiplantae; Streptophyta; Magnoliopsida; Fabales; Fabaceae
Source: the annotation of a GenBank genome assembly